This is a long non-coding RNA of Bos taurus (domestic cattle), 598 nucleotides long. NCBI's taxonomy places the organism in Eukaryota, Metazoa, Chordata, Mammalia, Artiodactyla, Bovidae. The record is from Ensembl.
GUGACAGCCACCGUGCUCACCGUCAGGAGCUGGACAGUCCCGGGGCCUGAGGAAGCGCUGCAGCCACCCACCGAAGCAGGAGCACUGUAUUGAAGUUACCAAAGCCCCUCCCUCAGUCUUGCCAAUGGACCAACCACAGGCCUCUCUCACUUCAGAGGAGUAAAACGGCCCCUGCGGGGCUUCUUGACCAAACCACAGUUUAAAGAGGCGGAGACAGGUGGGAGUCGGGGGCGGGAAACAUCCAGAAAGCAGUGAUGCACCAAGUGUGGAGACAGAAGAGUUUCCAAGCAGAGCGCUGGCAGUGGCUGCUCCCCCUUCCUCCAGUGAGCCUGCUUUUCCAUACUGGAAGAAGAUGAAAUGCACAUUUCAGAAUAACAACUGAUUGACAUCAGAGAAGAUGGAAAUCUAUAGCCAAAUUUUAACAAAAGUCUUUCCAUAAUUGGUGAAUGAAAUUUAGUUAAAACAGCCAAUAAAGAAAAUUAUGGAUUUAUGUUUCUUCAUGAGACAUAUUCCUUAGUUGCAAAAACCACUACAACAAAACACUGGAGAAAAUGAAUUAACAAACAUUUAAAUGAUUGUUGGACUAUAAAGAAAGCUG